This is a long non-coding RNA of Labeo rohita (rohu), 407 nucleotides long. RefSeq lists it as uncharacterized. The transcript has 3 exons. Lineage: Eukaryota; Metazoa; Chordata; Actinopteri; Cypriniformes; Cyprinidae. The record is from RefSeq and is a predicted model, not a curated record.
UUCUUUAGCUUGUGCAAAUAUUUGACAUCAGUAUUUUCAUCCAUUCAUUCUGUCUUUUACAGAUAAUAGAAGAUGCCGUGACUGAGAUGUCAAGACCCUGUUUGCCAGAAGCAAGUUCAGAACAGACACGUCAUUUAAGCCUGUUGGAGGUCCAAACCCUGGGGAGAACACCCGGCGGGUAAUGCGGGCAGUGUCCUCCUACAACGAUUGGAAGGAAUUCAGCCUAAAGGGGAAAAAAGGGAAGAGGCCGCUCCAAAACAUGAUUGUUAUGAAAGUCAUAAAAAAGGCAGUAAUGAGAUCCAAUCCUGGACUCCAGCAAGACAAAGUGGAGGACAUAGUGUCAGACACACUUAAACAUGCUCCAGCAAGGUGCCAGAAUGUGAGCUUCUUUUCUAGUUCAAUCUUCA